GCAACCUGCCCCUGACUCUGGGAUCACCGCUGGAAACGGCGUCUAAUACUGGAUACGAGUAGCGACCGCAUGGUCAGUUACUGGAAAGAUUUAUUGGUUGGGGAUGGGCUCGCGGCCUAUCAGCUUGUUGGUGAGGUAAUGGCUCACCAAGGCGUCGACGGGUAGCCGGCCUGAGAGGGUGACCGGCCACACUGGGACUGAGACACGGCCCAGACUCCUACGGGAGGCAGCAGUGGGGAAUAUUGCACAAUGGGCGCAAGCCUGAUGCAGCAACGCCGCGUGAGGGAUGACGGCCUUCGGGUUGUAAACCUCUUUUAGCAGGGAAGAAGCGAAAGUGACGGUACCUGCAGAAAAAGCGCCGGCUAACUACGUGCCAGCAGCCGCGGUAAUACGUAGGGCGCAAGCGUUAUCCGGAA
This 416-nucleotide ribosomal RNA is filed under the name Microbacterium phyllosphaerae. Its description in RNAcentral is "bacterial SSU rRNA". It matches the Rfam family "Bacterial small subunit ribosomal RNA", at positions 121 to 550 of the family's 1533-position model. The record is from RNAcentral. Lineage: Bacteria; Bacillati; Actinomycetota; Actinomycetes; Micrococcales; Microbacteriaceae.